Molecule: long non-coding RNA, 350 nt
Organism: Cannabis sativa
Lineage: Eukaryota; Viridiplantae; Streptophyta; Magnoliopsida; Rosales; Cannabaceae
Exons: 2
Source: RefSeq, a predicted model, not a curated record
AGAUGUAUCAAAUGACAGCUCUAGUGGCCACUCCUCAAACUCUGAAUGAUGACAGUUGGUAUGCAUAUAGUGGAGCCACCAAUCACCUUAUUGCAGAUGCUGAAAAAUUGAACAACAAAGUGGAGUAUGGUGGUAAGGAGCAUAUGACAAUUGGUGAUGGAUUGAGCAAUAGGGAAGGUGGUGCUGCAAGGAACCUUUAAAGAUGGAUAGUAUCAAUUCUCAAGCACUGUAGGUGAAGAACCUUGUCAAAUUCUAACCAAGUUAUUUUCUGGUGUAGCAAUUGAGUCCAAGUCUACAAAUCAACUUUUUAUUUCCCUAAAGGAUGCAUGGCAUAGAUACCUAGGUCAUCC